GCGGGCGUGGUGAAAUUGGUAGACACGCCAGGUUUAGGUCCUGGUGGCGGUGACGCCGUGGGGGUUCAAGUCCCUCCGCCCGCACCA
RNAcentral lists this transfer RNA (87 nucleotides) under Varunaivibrio sulfuroxidans. RNAcentral describes it as "tRNA-Leu". It matches the Rfam family "tRNA". From Rfam's summary of the family: Transfer RNA (tRNA) molecules are approximately 80 nucleotides in length. Their secondary structure includes four short double-helical elements and three loops (D, anti-codon, and T loops). The record is from RNAcentral. Lineage: Bacteria; Pseudomonadati; Pseudomonadota; Alphaproteobacteria; Rhodospirillales; Magnetovibrionaceae.